GUUUUCUUUAAUAAGGUAAAGAACACCAAAAUAACUAAGUUUUUAUUUGUGGUGAUUUCAGAUUUAUGAAAUUGGAGGUGGAUCGGGAACUUGUGUAGAGAUGAGGGAAGAAAAUCUAUGUAUGGGAUUUGUAGACCAGCCCGCCUUCUCUAAUUGCAAGGUUAUCUCAUGCUCAAUCCAAAUUUCCCAUCAGGCAUACUGCUAUGUCGUUUGAUG
RNAcentral lists this long non-coding RNA (216 nucleotides) under Helianthus annuus (common sunflower). Its description in RNAcentral is "hypothetical non coding rna". Lineage: Eukaryota; Viridiplantae; Streptophyta; Magnoliopsida; Asterales; Asteraceae. The record is from RNAcentral.